GUGAAUCAUCAAAUCUUUGAACGCAAAUUGCGCCUUUUUCUGAAGGCAUGUCUGUUCGAGGGCACCAUUUAACAAAUAAUGCGCAUUUCGUGUGCACACGUUGGUGAGCUUUCCAUAUUUAUGUAUUAUUUUUUGUUGCGCAUAAUAAACAGCGCGAUGCUUUUUUUCAGCUCGUGUGUAGUAAGAUUUUUUCUUGAUUUGGGUGUGAAAAGCGUGAUCUCGCAUUGGGUGUUGCAAUUUUAGUUAAUCCCUG
RNAcentral lists this unclassified non-coding RNA (253 nucleotides) under Paraglomus sp. RNAcentral describes it as "partial contains 5.8S ribosomal RNA and internal transcribed spacer 2". The stretch from base 1 to 65 matches the Rfam family "5.8S ribosomal RNA", at positions 84 to 154 of the family's 154-position model. Lineage: Eukaryota; Fungi; Glomeromycota; Glomeromycetes; Paraglomerales; Paraglomeraceae. The record is from RNAcentral.